This 301-nucleotide ribosomal RNA is filed under the name uncultured bacterium. RNAcentral's name for it is "partial 16S ribosomal RNA". It matches the Rfam family "Bacterial small subunit ribosomal RNA", at positions 509 to 807 of the family's 1533-position model. The record is from RNAcentral.
CAGCAGCCGCGGUAAUACGUAGGGUGCGAGCGUUAAUCGGAAUUACUGGGCGUAAAGCGUGCGCAGGCGGUUUUGUAAGACAGGCGUGAAAUCCCCGGGCUCAACCUGGGAAUGGCGCUUGUGACUGCAAAGCUAGAGUGCGGCAGAGGGGGAUGGAAUUCCGCGUGUAGCAGUGAAAUGCGUAGAUAUGCGGAGGAACACCAAUGGCGAAGGCAAUCCCCUGGACCUGUACUGACGCUCAUGCACGAAAGCGUGGGGAGCAAACAGGAUUAGAUACCCCAGUAGUCCCUGUCUCUUAUAC